AGAGUUUGAUCCUGGCUCAGAACGAACGGUGGCGGUGUGCUUACUACAUGCAAGUCGAGCGGACUAGUGGGGCAACUUACUAGUUAGCGGCGGACGGGUGAGUAAUGUAUAGACAACCUACCCUUUAGUGGGGGAUAACGAUUAGAAAGGAUUGCUAAUACCGCAUAAGCUUAAGCAGAUGCAUAUCUGCAUAAGGAAAGUGGGGGAUCUUCGGACCUCAUGCUGAAGGAGGGGUUUAUAUCCUAUUAGCUAGUUGGUGGGGUAAAAGCCUACCAAAGCGAUGAUGGGUAGCCGGCCUGAGAGGGUGUUCGGCCACACGGGCACUGAGACACGGGCCCGACUCCUACGGGAGGCAGCAGUAGGGAAUUUUGGGCAAUGGGGGCAACCCUGACCCAGCGACACCGCGUGAGAGAAGAAGGCCUUCGGGUUGUAAAUCUCUAACAUGUAUUAUGAAGGCAUGGUUGACUAAUAAUCAAUUGUGUUUGACAAAGGUACAAAAUGAAGUCAUGGCUAACUCUGUGCCAGCAGCCGCGGUAAUACAGAGAUGGCAACCGUUGUUCGGAAUCACUGGGCUUAAAGAGCACGUAGGCGGAAUGUUAAGUUGGCUGUGAAAGACCACGGUUCAUCCGUGGAGAGUCAGCCAAAACUGAUAUUCUUGAGGCUGUUAGGGGAGAGUGGAAUUCCUGGUGGAGCGGUGAAAUGCGUUGAUAUCAGGAGGAACGCCGGAGGCGAAGGCGACUCUCUGGGUCAGUCCUGACGCUGAGGUGCGAAAGCUAGGGGAGCAAACGGGAUUAGAUACCCCGGUAGUCCUAGCCGUAAACGAUGGGUACUAAGUAGGGGAGUUCGCUUCCCUGCCGGAGCAAAAGUGUCAAGUACCCCGCCUGGGGAGUAUGGUCGCAAGGCUGAAACUCAAAGGAAUUGACGGGGGCUCGCACAAGCGGUGGAGCAUGUGGUUUAAUUCGAAGCAACGCGAAGAACCUUACCUGGGCUUGACAUUCUAGGAUUAACUCGAUGAAAGUCGAGGGACACUCUUUUGAGCGGAACUAGAACAGGUGUUGCAUGGCUGUCGUCAGCUCGUGCCGUGAGGUGUUGGGUUAAGUCCCUUAACGAGCGAAACCUUUGUCCUUAGUUGCCAGCGGGUAAUGCCGGGGACUCUAGGGAGACUGCAGGCGUUAAGCCUGAGGAAGGUGGAGAUGACGUCAAGUCAUCAUGGCCCUUAUGUCCAGGGCUACACACGUGCUACAAUGGUUGGUACAAAGGGAUGCUAAGCCGUAAGGUGGCGCUAAUCCCAAAAAACCAAUCUUAGUUCGGAUUGAGGGCUGCAAUUCGCCCUCAUGAAGUUGGAAUCGCUAGUAAUCGUGGGUCAGCAAUACCACGGUGAAUGUGUUCCCGAGCCUUGUACACACCGCCCGUCAAGCCACCGAAGCAGGGGUAGCCUGAAGUCAUUGACCUAACCUCGCAAGAGGAGGGAGGUGCCCAAGGAAGCUUCUGUGACGGGGACUAAGUCGUAACAAGGUA
Molecule: ribosomal RNA, 1518 nt
Filed under: metagenome
Description: bacterial SSU rRNA
Rfam family: Bacterial small subunit ribosomal RNA
Source: RNAcentral